Molecule: ribosomal RNA, 435 nt
Filed under: uncultured bacterium
Lineage: Bacteria
Description: partial 16S ribosomal RNA
Rfam family: Bacterial small subunit ribosomal RNA
Source: RNAcentral
GAUGAACGCUGGCGGUAUGCUUAACACAUGCAAGUCGAACGGACACUUCGGACUUAGUGGCGGCGGGGUGCGUAACGCGUGAGAAUCCGGCUUUGGGUUCGGGACCACCACUGGAAACGGUGGCUAAUAGCGGCUGUGCCGAGAGGCAAUCGAGAAAUUGCCUCGAGAUGCGGUCGCGUCUCAGUCGCUAGUUGGUGAGGUAAAGGCUCACCAUGGCAGCGAUCAGUAGCUGGUCUGAGAGGAUAACCAGCCACAAUGCGACUGGGACACGGCCGAGACGCCUACGGGAGGCAGGGGGGAAGAAUGAUCCACAAAGGGCGAGAGCCUGACGAAGCACUACGGCGUGAGAAAAGAAGGCUCUUGGGAUGAAAACCUCUUGGCUUAGAGAAGAACAAAAUGACGGUACCGAAAGAAUCAGCAUCGGCUAACUCCGUG